This 157-nucleotide ribosomal RNA is filed under the name uncultured bacterium. RNAcentral describes it as "partial 16S ribosomal RNA". It matches the Rfam family "Bacterial small subunit ribosomal RNA", at positions 355 to 509 of the family's 1533-position model. The record is from RNAcentral.
UGAGGAAUAUUGGUCAAUGGGCGGGAGCCUGAACCAGCCAAGCCGCGUGAAGGAGGAAGGCGCCAGGCGUCGUAAACUUCUUUUGUCGGGGAACAAAGGGCGCCACGCGUGGCGUUGUGAGUGUACCCGAAGAAAAAGCAUCGGCUAACUCCGUGCC